This 443-nucleotide ribosomal RNA is filed under the name uncultured bacterium. RNAcentral's name for it is "partial 16S ribosomal RNA". It matches the Rfam family "Bacterial small subunit ribosomal RNA", at positions 338 to 795 of the family's 1533-position model. The record is from RNAcentral.
CCUACGGGUGGCUGCAGUGGGGAAUAUUGGACAAUGGGGGGAACCCUGAUCCAGCGACGCCGCGUGAGUGAAGAAGUAUUUCGGUAUGUAAAGCUCUAUCAGCAGGGAAGAAAGAAAUGACGGUACCUGACUAAGAAGCCUCGGCUAACUACGUGCCAGCAGCCGCGGUAAUCCGGAGGGGGCAAGCGUUAUCCGGAUUCAAUGGGUGUAAAGGGAUCGUAGGUGGCGAUGCAAGUCUGAAGUGAAAGGCGGGGGCCCAACCCCUGGACUGCCUUGGAAACUGUAUGGCUGGAGUGCAGGAGAGGUAAGUGGAAUUCCUGGUGUAGCGGUGAAAUGCGUAGAUAUUAGGAAGAACACCAGUGGCGAAGGCAGCUUACUGGACUGUAACUGACGUUGAGGCUCGAAAGCGUGGGGAGCGAACAGGAUUAGAUACCCGGGUAGUC